Molecule: ribosomal RNA, 1375 nt
Filed under: uncultured bacterium
Lineage: Bacteria
Description: bacterial SSU rRNA
Rfam family: Bacterial small subunit ribosomal RNA
Source: RNAcentral
GAUGAACGCUGGCGGCGUGCCUAAUACAUGCAAGUCGAGCGAACGGACGAGAAGCUUGCUUCUCUGAUGUUAGCGGCGGACGGGUGAGUAACACGUGGAUAACCUACCUAUAAGACUGGGAUAACUUCGGGAAACCGGAGCUAAUACCGGAUAAUAUUUUGAACCGCAUGGUUCAAAAGUGAAAGACGGUCUUGCUGUCACUUAUAGAUGGAUCCGCGCUGCAUUAGCUAGUUGGUAAGGUAACGGCUUACCAAGGCAACGAUGCAUAGCCGACCUGAGAGGGUGAUCGGCCACACUGGAACUGAGACACGGUCCAGACUCCUACGGGAGGCAGCAGUAGGGAAUCUUCCGCAAUGGGCGAAAGCCUGACGGAGCAACGCCGCGUGAGUGAUGAAGGUCUUCGGAUCGUAAAACUCUGUUAUUAGGGAAGAACAUAUGUGUAAGUAACUGUGCACAUCUUGACGGUACCUAAUCAGAAAGCCACGGCUAACUACGUGCCAGCAGCCGCGGUAAUACGUAGGUGGCAAGCGUUAUCCGGAAUUAUUGGGCGUAAAGCGCGCGUAGGCGGUUUUUUAAGUCUGAUGUGAAAGCCCACGGCUCAACCGUGGAGGGUCAUUGGAAACUGUUAAACUUGAGUGCAGGAGAGAAAAGUGGAAUUCCUAGUGUAGCGGUGAAAUGCGUAGAGAUUAGGAGGAACACCAGUGGCGAAGGCGGCUUUUUGGCCUGUAACUGACACUGAGGCGCGGAAGCGUGGGGAGCAAACAGGAUUAGAUACCCUGGUAGUCCACGCCGUAAACGAUGAGUGCUAAGUGUUGGUCUCAUAAGAGAUCAGUGCUGCAGCUAACGCAUUAAGCACUCCGCCUGGGGAGUACGACCGCAAGGUUGAAGCUCAAAGGAAUUGACGGGGGCCCGCACAAGCGGUGGAGCAUGUGGUUUAAUUCGAAGCAACGCGAAGAACCUUACCAAGUCUUGACAUACUGUGAGGACACAAGAGAUUGUGUUGUUCUGACCUUUGGUUAGACACAGAUACAGGUGGUGCAUGGUUGUCGUCAGCUCGUGUCGUGAGAUGUUGGGUUAAGUCCCGCAACGAGCGCAACCCUUAUAUCUAGUUGCCAGCAGUAAGAUGGGGACUCUAGAUAGACUGCCAGUGAUAAACUGGAGGAAGGUGGGGAUGACGUCAAAUCAUCAUGCCCCUUAUGACUUGGGCUACGCACGUGCUACAAUGGAUAGGAACAAAGAGAAGCGAGCUCGCGAGAGUAAGCAAACCUCACAAAACUAUUCUCAGUUCGGAUUGUAGUCUGCAACUCGACUACAUGAAGCUGGAAUCGCUAGUAAUCGCGAAUCAGAAUGUCGCGGUGAAUACGUUCCCGGGUCU